This 166-nucleotide small nuclear RNA is filed under the name Betta splendens (Siamese fighting fish). Its description in RNAcentral is "U2 spliceosomal RNA (ENSBSLG00000023074.1)". It matches the Rfam family "U2 spliceosomal RNA". From Rfam's summary of the family: U2 is a small nuclear RNA (snRNA) component of the spliceosome (involved in pre-mRNA splicing). The record is from Rfam by way of RNAcentral. Lineage: Eukaryota; Metazoa; Chordata; Actinopteri; Anabantiformes; Osphronemidae.
AUCGCUUCUCGGCCUUUUGGCUACGAUCAAGUGUAGUAUCGUUUUAGUGUUUACCGUUUUUUUCAGAGUAGGGUACCAGAUUAUCUGUAGUUUUUGUUAUUUUUAUUACCAUGGCGGCUUCAAGUGAUGGAAGAUUUAUGCCCAGGGUUGGUUUACGCCAUACUGU